GCCCCCGUAGCCCAACUGGCAGAGGCAUCGGCCUUAAAAGCCGAACAGUGUCGGUUCGAACCCGACCGGGGGCA
Molecule: transfer RNA, 74 nt
Filed under: Jiangella ureilytica
Lineage: Bacteria; Bacillati; Actinomycetota; Actinomycetes; Jiangellales; Jiangellaceae
Description: Jiangella sp. KC603 tRNA-Leu
Rfam family: tRNA
About the family: Transfer RNA (tRNA) molecules are approximately 80 nucleotides in length.
Source: RNAcentral